This is a non-coding RNA of Lactuca sativa (garden lettuce), 1238 nucleotides long. NCBI's taxonomy places the organism in Eukaryota, Viridiplantae, Streptophyta, Magnoliopsida, Asterales, Asteraceae. The record is from RefSeq and is a predicted model, not a curated record.
AAUUAUAUACAUAUAUUAAAAACCAACAUGGUUAUCAACAGUAAACUUUUCCGCUUUCAUAUUUUAACCACAGUAUUAUGCACAAAACGACUCCUUUCGCCCUUCUACAUUUGCAACUGUCCUUCUUGCACAAACGAAUAUACCCGAUGCAGAUGGUUUCAUACAUUUCUCGCAGUCUUUUCAUCUAAGAACUUACAUUCUCGAAUCCAACUCCUCCGAUUCAUAAGGUAUUUCGACUGCAAUCUCUUUCUCUUUCAAGUUUCAUCAUCGACUUCUCCCACUCUUACUCAAUUUAUUCUCAAUUUUGACAAAACUGUUUCUUGAUAUGCAAAAUUUUCUGAUUUCUGAUUUCGUUUCCGACUCUCUGCAAUUGAUGUUUCCGCUGUCUUCUCUUCCAAGAAUUAACAGUUUUGACUCCAACUCUUCCGAUUGAUAAGGUAUAUCAAUUGCAGUCUCUUUCUCUUUCAUCUUCUGAUCAUCGAUUUUCCCCAAUGUUUCUGAAUUUGUUCAACUUAUCGACAAAAAAAACUUCUUAAUGUGUACAUUUUCUGAUUUUUGAUUUCGUUCUGAAUCUCUAGAAUUGGCAUCCCCGCCGUCUUCUCCUCUAACAAUUUACUCUGUAGUGUUUAUUCUCCAAGCGAAGACCCUCUUUUGCAAUUAUCACACCUCCCCGCCCCCUCCAGUGGAAACGAUAAUAUCUCAUUCUUGCAAUUGUAGUGAAAGCGGCACCGGUGGCGAUGGUGGCUUCCACACAACCGUCUUCCGAUUGAUGCAAGAGGAUUGGUCCAUCUGUUGCUCCUGUAUUAUAGGGCUCUAUCAAUUUGGGCAACGAUUUUGAGCAAUCGCUAACGAAUUUUGUUGGAGGUCGGCAAUUUCCAUUUAAAGACGUAAAUGCCCUGAGAAGAUUUCGAUCGUCAAGUCUAAGAAGAAAAAGAGCGUCGCCAUGCUUUGCGUAAGGUACAACACAUUCAUGCACAUGUGGUCUCCUGCUGGUCAAACCGGAUUGUUUGGAAUGCAUGAAGUUAUGAAUCACGGUUGCGAUUUCAUAAAUGGACAAGGAAGCAAAAAAAGAUGGAUCUAACAGAGUAACAAUAAUAGGGAAGUGUGACUUCUAGCUCAUACUAAAAUUACUUUAUCUAUGCAUUAUUUGAUUUUAUUUAAUCCUUUUAUUAUUGUCACAAAAUUUUUUGAUUUCCGAAUAUAUCAACAGUUACCUAAAAACAAAAAAAGCUUCAUCA